This 253-nucleotide ribosomal RNA is filed under the name uncultured bacterium. RNAcentral describes it as "partial 16S ribosomal RNA". It matches the Rfam family "Bacterial small subunit ribosomal RNA", at positions 524 to 776 of the family's 1533-position model. The record is from RNAcentral.
UACGAAGGGGGCUAGCGUUGUUCGGAAUCACUGGGCGUAAAGCGCACGCAGGCGGAUAAAUAAGUCAGGGGUGAAAUCCCGGGGCUCAACCUCGGAAUUGCCUUUGAUACUGUUUAUCUCGAGUUCGGGAGAGGUUGGUGGAAUUCCUAGUGUAGAGGUGAAAUUCGUAGAUAUCUGGAGGAACACCGGUGGCGAAGGCGGCAUCCUGGACCGGUAUUGACACUGAGGAGCGAAAGCCAGGGGAGCAAACGGG